AUGAAAUGGCUGGUUUUCAGAUGUGUAUUCUCAUUUUAUGGAAGACAUGUUGCCAGAGGAAAGCACAAUAUAUUCAUCUUGAAAUGUAAUACUGAGAAGAUAUGGAAAUUAUGGAAGUUGUGGCCUUCAGAAUUGACACUUACGGAGAGACUAGAACAGCGUGGAUACCGUGAACACAACAUUCAACUCACAGACACUACGGAGACCUUACUAAGCAUAAGGUACUGUGAAAUGUACUUUGAAAGAUUCAGCAAACUACUCUCACUGUAUCAUCAUAGAGUCAGUGUCUAACCAUGAAGAUCUUUUUGUUCACAAGCUAAAUGCCAUGAAAUGGGAUUCAAAACAAAUGUCCACAGAAAUUUUAUAGCAAUACUGAAGUAGACUAUAUUUUCUGAGCCUUAAUCUAAAAGAAGUUAAAACCAUUCAUCUUUAUGAGGGUUCUGAAAAGUGUUACAGUGUAGUAGAAAAGUUCUGCACUUAAAACCAAAAGACCUAUGAAUCAGGUGUGGGAUCUCACACAAGCCAGUUAUUCACACUGAGUGAAUAUCUUAACUAUCAUGUGAAAAUAAUGUUUUCUUCAUUCCCUGGUAGGUAUUAAAUGUGAAAACUUAUGAAAGCGAGACGAUAAAAUAUGAUUUGUUACUACUAUUAUGGCAAUCAACAUAUAAAACAUACUCUUUCUCUCUCUCUAUAUAUAAAUAAAUAAUAUAUAGAAUAGGAGAAAAGUUGGAUCCCCAAACAUGGCAAUGUGAUUAUUAGAUGCAUCUUUCCUCAUAGUCUUCUAUCAUAUCUAACAAGUGGCCUAAUGGUAAACUCUGCUUCUCAACCAAAAAGAAAGCAAUCUACAUUUCAAGGUUGUACUUUACCUUAUCAUAAAUUCCUCAAACUUUUAACUGGUAAGGUUAAGGCUGGACCGGUAUGUAUCUGCCACAGGUUUGUGCUCUGGAGGACCGAGUAUACAAGAAGUGUUGCCAUUUAUCAAAAGGUCAUCUUCCAACAGCUUUAUGAUCCCUAGAUAUAGCAAACUACUUAGAAAAAAGCAGCAGUUCACAUUUAGCAGUACACAUUUCUUUAACUUGUA
This 1081-nucleotide long non-coding RNA is filed under the name Pan paniscus (pygmy chimpanzee). RNAcentral describes it as "lncRNA (ENSPPAG00000044993.1)". The record is from RNAcentral. Lineage: Eukaryota; Metazoa; Chordata; Mammalia; Primates; Hominidae.